Molecule: long non-coding RNA, 159 nt
Filed under: Astyanax mexicanus (Mexican tetra)
Lineage: Eukaryota; Metazoa; Chordata; Actinopteri; Characiformes; Acestrorhamphidae
Description: lncRNA (ENSAMXG00005017928.1)
Source: RNAcentral
UUAAUUUAUCUCAAAUAAAUUAAAAUAAUGUUUUUAUGUCAUUAUUUGCACAGUGAAUUCUACAAUAGGACCAUCACCCACCCCAGCUAAUGAUUCUAAACCAGCAGAGAAUUCUACAGUUAGACCGUCACCCACUACAGUUACUGAACCUAAACCAAC